AGCCCAUGGUGUGGACAUCUUCUAAGCAACUCUUUAAAUCGUUCCCAAGCCUCAUAUAAUGACUCACCAUCAAAUUGUUUGAAUGAAGUUAUAUCAUUCCUUAACUU
RNAcentral lists this small nucleolar RNA (107 nucleotides) under Theobroma cacao (cacao). Its description in RNAcentral is "Plant small nucleolar RNA R71". It matches the Rfam family "Plant small nucleolar RNA R71". Rfam says of the family: R71 is a member of the C/D box family of snoRNAs containing the C (UGAUGA) and D (CUGA) box motifs. The record is from Rfam by way of RNAcentral. Lineage: Eukaryota; Viridiplantae; Streptophyta; Magnoliopsida; Malvales; Malvaceae.